CCUACGGGUGGCAGCAGUGAGGAAUAUUGGUCAAUGGCCGCAGGGCUGAACCAGCCAAGUCGCGUGAGGGAUGACGGUCCUAUGGAUUGUAAACCUCUUUUGUCAGGGAGCAAGGGGCGCCACGUGUGGCGCUUUGCGAGUACCUGAAGAAAAAGCAUAGGCUAACUCCGUGCCAGCAGCCGCGGUAAUACGGGGGAUGCGAGCGUUAUCCGGAUUUAUUGGGGUUAUAGGGUGCGCAGGCGGAAUGUCAAGUCAGCGGUAAAAUUUCGGGGCUCAACCCCGUCGUGCCGUUGAACCUGGCUGUCUUGAGUGCGCGAGAAGUAUGCGGAAUGCGUGGUGUAGCGGUGAAAUGCAUAGAUAGCACGCAGAACUCCGAUUGCGAAGGCAGCAUACCGGCGCUCAACUGACGCUGAGGCACGAAAGCGUGGGUAGCGAACAGGAUUAGAUACCCGAGGAGUC
This 459-nucleotide ribosomal RNA is filed under the name uncultured bacterium. RNAcentral's name for it is "partial 16S ribosomal RNA". It matches the Rfam family "Bacterial small subunit ribosomal RNA", at positions 338 to 795 of the family's 1533-position model. The record is from RNAcentral.